Molecule: ribosomal RNA, 280 nt
Filed under: uncultured Lactobacillus sp.
Lineage: Bacteria; Bacillati; Bacillota; Bacilli; Lactobacillales; Lactobacillaceae
Description: partial 16S ribosomal RNA
Rfam family: Bacterial small subunit ribosomal RNA
Source: RNAcentral
CCUGCGAAGGCAAGCGAAUCUCUGAAAGCUGUUCUCAGUUCGGACUGCAGUCUGCAACUCGACUGCACGAAGCUGGAAUCGCUAGUAAUCGCGGAUCAGCACGCCGCGGUGAAUACGUUCCCGGGCCUUGUACACACCGCCCGUCACACCAUGGGAGUCUGCAAUGCCCAAAGCCGGUGGCCUAACCUUCGGGAAGGAGCCGUCUAAGGCAGGGCAGAUGACUGGGGUGAAGUCGUAACAAGGUAGCCGUAGGAGAACCUGCGGCUGGAUCGCCUCCUUU